GAGCUCGCCUCAGUAGCUCGUGUGCUGAGACUGGAACAGUACAGAGAUGGGAAGCCAAGCUCCUACGCAAGGAUGGCACCCAAAUUCGCAAAGUGUUCCUUUAUUUU
RNAcentral lists this small nuclear RNA (107 nucleotides) under Carlito syrichta (Philippine tarsier). The record is from RNAcentral. Lineage: Eukaryota; Metazoa; Chordata; Mammalia; Primates; Tarsiidae.